This is a non-coding RNA of Camellia sinensis, 295 nucleotides long. The record is from RefSeq and is a predicted model, not a curated record. NCBI's taxonomy places the organism in Eukaryota, Viridiplantae, Streptophyta, Magnoliopsida, Ericales, Theaceae.
UAUUUAUUAAUUGUUAGGAUUGGAGGAAGGCAUCUCUCCACCUCUUGGAAAUUAAUUUGUAGAGUUUCAAAUCUACACUUUUGCUAUUUUUGGAGAUUCAUAGACUUUUGUGUGGCUCGCCUCAACUUGGAAGACUAGAAUUUUUUUUGAAGGAUCACAGGUGGGCAUCUUGUGGUUGAGGUUUUGCUUAGGGUCAUUCUAGGAUGUAAGCUUACCCUUUUUUUUUAUGAAGGAGGUUGAUUGUAAAAAUUGCUUAUGAAGUUGGAUGUAUUGAUGGAUUCGUGAUUAGUAUGUA